This 159-nucleotide ribosomal RNA is filed under the name Triticum aestivum (bread wheat). RNAcentral's name for it is "partial small subunit ribosomal RNA". Lineage: Eukaryota; Viridiplantae; Streptophyta; Magnoliopsida; Poales; Poaceae. The record is from RNAcentral.
AUGCUUAUCUCGUGGGAAAUCUGGAAGGAGAGAAAUGCUCGUGUCUUCCGCAACACCGCGGUGCCGGUGGGGGUGAUUGUUGCUAAAAUCAAAGAAGAGGCUUCCAUGUGGUGCCUCGCAGGGGCAAAAAUUUUGAGUAAUGUAAUGCCGCGAGAGUAA